This 202-nucleotide ribosomal RNA is filed under the name Lactobacillus crispatus. RNAcentral describes it as "partial 16S ribosomal RNA". It matches the Rfam family "Bacterial small subunit ribosomal RNA", at positions 1340 to 1533 of the family's 1533-position model. Lineage: Bacteria; Bacillati; Bacillota; Bacilli; Lactobacillales; Lactobacillaceae. The record is from RNAcentral.
AAUCGCGGAUCAGCACGCCGCGGUGAAUACGUUCCCGGGCCUUGUACACACCGCCCGUCACACCAUGGGAGUCUGCAAUGCCCAAAGCCGGUGGCCUAACCUUCGGGAAGGAGCCGUCUAAGGCAGGGCAGAUGACUGGGGUGAAGUCGUAACAAGGUAGCCGUAGGAGAACCUGCGGCUGGAUCACCUCCUUUCUAAGGAA